GGAAGUGGCAUAGAUUCACCUUUAUUGAGUCAGGUUUUUUAAGGGUUCAUCUUUAUCUUUCUAAUAGUUUCCUUCAAAGUGUUGUAUUAAACUCAAUCAAUCUAGAAGGUCAAGGAAGGCAACCACCACUUGCAACCGCCCAGCCGCCAGCCACCAGCCACCAGCUGUAUGCCGCCAGCCGUCAGCCGCCAGCCGCCAGCCGCCUUCACACUUGAAGGUUGAAAUAUCUUGUUUUGAAUUCGUGUAUAAAUAGGUAGCUAAGUGGAUGCUAUUCUGUGUGGAAAGAAAAGAAAGAAACACUAGAGAGAAAGAAAGAGGGAGUGUAUUCAAAGCUUUUGUUUAAUCUUUGUAAGCCUUUUAUUGUUGAAAUAAAACAGUGUGUUUUAUACCCUCUGAGUGUUUCAAAGCCACCACCAGUGGUUUCUCCCACCAACAAUUGGUAUCAGAGCCCUGUUCGUCAGAAAACAGAAAAGUUUUGGGAUAUACCCGAAUUUUCAAAUUUGUCAAAAACAAGUUUUGAUCAUUCCACAGUGUAGAUCUCAUCCAUACGAACUCACUGGUGCAAAAAUCAGCGUCAUCGGAGCCCUCGGUGAUCCACAUGCACCGCCUGAAAUUCCGGUAAAUGUAGCCCAGUCGCACCCAGUCGCGCCAGAGGUUGAAGACGACUGAGCCACACGCACGCCAUAUUCGCGCCGAGCCGAGCCUCCAAACUGAUCCCGAGCCGAGCCGUGAGCCGUGCCGCAACAAGCCGCGCCGAGCCAAUAGAAUAUUCCGCAGAAUAUUCCCGGUUCAACCCCAGCGAACCGCCCGACGUCCAGAAUCGGUUUUCAGACCGGUUCAGCCCAUUUCUGACCCAUUUUCAACAAAGUCAGACCCGUUCCCUACUAUUUGGACCAUUUCGGAUCGAUCUAUAGUGUCCGUUUUGCCAAAUUCAACUCCCAAAGGAGAUAUAGUCAUUCAAGGAGCAAAAUGACUACAGAAAAUGCACAUACACUCAUCCCGAAGCUAACCAAAGACAACUAUGAUAGUUGGUGCAUCAGAUUGAAGGCAUUUCUUGGUUCACAAGAGUGUAUAGAGAUUGUGCAAUAUGGUUAUGAUGAACCAGAGUCCAAAGAAGCAGAAGAGACUCUACAAGAGGCAGAAAAACAAGUCCUCAAAGCAAAUAGAAAGAAGGACAACAAAGCAAAGACCAUCAUCUAUCAAGGUCUUGAUGAAGCAAUAUUUGAGAUCAUUGCUUCCGCAGAAACAUCAAAAGCAAUUUGGGAAGCUCUCCAACAAAAAUACAAAGGUGCUGACAUAAUCAAGAAGAUUCGUCUCCAAUCUUUGCGAGGUGAGUUUGAAUUAUUGCAAAUGAAGGCCUCAGAAUCUAUUUCUGACUAUCACACAAGAAUUAUGGUGAUAGUCAAUCAGAUGAGAAGAAAUGGAGAAGCCCUCAUAGAUGCUCGGAUUACUGAGAAAAUUUUGAGAUCCCUAGAUCCAAAAUUUGAUUUUGUUGUUGUCGCUAUUGAAGAGUCCAAAGAAGUGGACAAGUUGAUGGUGGAUGAGCUUAUGAGUUCUUCGCAAGCUCAUGAGCAAAAGAUUGUAAAAAGAAAUGGAGAUAAGGCAAUUGAGCAUGUCUUACAAGCAAAGUUGUCUCUCAAAGACAGAUAUGAGCAAGGGGAGACUUCAACAAGUGGAUAUACCACUCGAGGAAGAAGUCAACAAACACGAGGAGGAUUUCAGCGAUUUCAAGGAAGAGGAUCUUGGAAUACAAGCUUUAGAGGAAGAGGUGGUAGAAACACCACCAGUGGAGGUCGAGGACAACAAGCAUUCACUCCUAGAGGAAGAAGAGGCGGUUACAAUAACCGUGACAAGAGGAAUAUCCAGUGUUAUAAUUGCAAUCAAUUUGGGCACUAUAGCACUGAAUGUCAAGGGAAAGCUCCAUUAGAGGUACGUGAGCAUGCCAACUAUGCAGAGGAGGAUGCCAAUAGCAGAGGAGCAGCUGCAUUAUUUGUCCAACAAGGACUUGACAAGAAUCAAGAGAAUAUUUGGUAUCUUGAUUCUGGAGCCAGCAAUCACAUGUGUGGCCAACGAGAUCUAUUUGGCGAUCUAGAUGAGACCAUACAAGGUCUAGUCACCUUUGGAGAUUAAUUGCCUAUGUGAAAAUGUCCAAGAAUAAGAUGUUUCCUUUAAACAUCCAAUAUGAUGCAGCAAAGUGUUUGAGUGCCAUUACCAACAGUGAAGAGUGGCUUUGGCACCUAAGGCUUGGACAUCUGAAUUUCACAAGUCUGAAGAUGUUAGCAAGCAAGAAGAUGGUCAAAGGUAUGCCCCACAUUGAUCAUCCAGAUGAAGUCUGUGAGAGUUGUGUCCUCAGCAAACAUCACAGAUCUAGUUUUGCCAAAGAAGUCAACUGGAAAGCAAAGAGGCCACUGGAGUUAGUGCACACAGAUGUGUGUGGUCCCAUAAAGCCUAUGUCGACUGGACAAAAUAGGUACUUCCUCACUUUCAUUGAUGAUUUUAGCAGAAAGACGUGGAUAUACUUUCUGAAGAGGAAGUCAGAAGUGUUCAAUUGUUUUAAAGAUUUUAAAGCAAUUGUUGAGAAGCAAAGUGGCUAUAAGAUCAGAACCGUGAGAUUUGAUCAAGGUGGAGAAUAUACAGCAAAUGACUUUGAAGCCUUUUGUACACAACAAGGCAUCAGACAUCAGACAACACCAGCUUAUACACCACAGCUGAGUGGUGUAGCUGAGAGAAAGAAUCGAACGAUUCUUGACAUGGCAAGAAGUCUACUCAAAGCAAAGAAGCUGCCCAAACAAUACUGGGCUGAAGCUGUAUCAUGUGCAGUGUAUCUACUGAAUCGCUGCCCAACCAAAAGUUUGCAAGCUGUCACUCCACAAGAAGCAUGGAGUGGUCACAAACCAAGUGUUACUCAUCUUCGAGUCUUUGGUUGUGUGGCAUAUGCAAAGAUCCCAGAUGCAAGAAGGACCAAACUCGAUGAUAAAAGCGAGAAAUGCAUCUUUGUCGGAUAUGGUGAGAGAAGGAUGGGAUACAAGCUGUAUAAUCCCAUCACAAAGAAGGUAAUUAUGAGUAGAGAUGUUAUCUUUGAAGAAGAUAAAACUUGGCAAUGGAAGGAUGACCAAGAAGCAGUCAAAUGGAUCAACACUGAUUUGAUCCUUGAAGAUGAAGUGGAAGUACCACCAGUACUUGCAGAAGGUCCGAUAUUACCGGCAGAUGAGCCACAAAGUCCGGUACACAGAUUCCCUGUAUUCAACAGGAGAAACACACCAGAAUCAUCAUUAACACCAUCAUCAGCAUCCUCAUCAGAAGGAUCAAGAAGGAUGAGAAAUCUAGACGAGUUGUACGAUGCCACGCAAGUCAUGGAAGAUACAACUCUAUUUUGUUUCUUUGCAGAUAAUGACCCACUUAGCUUCAAUGAAGCUGUGACAGAAGAGAAGUGGAUAUAAGCAAUGGAUGAAGAAAUACAUGCCAUUGAAAAGAAUGAUACCUGGAAGCUGACUUAUCUACCAGAAAACAAGAAAGCAAUAGGUGUCAAAUGGGUCUACAAGACAAAGAAGAAUGCAAAAGGAGAAGUACAAAGAUACAAAGCAAGAUUAGUGGCAAAAGGCUACAAACAGAGAGAAGGCAUUGACUAUGGAGAAGUAUUUGCUCCAGUAGCCCGACUAGAGACAAUCAGACUGAUGAUCUCACUAGCUGCACAACAUAGAUGGAAGAUCUAUCAACUCGAUGUGAAGUCAGCAUUUCUGAAUGGCUUCCUAGAAGAAGAAAUCUAUGUUGAACAACCACUUGGAUACAUUGAAGCUGAAAAUGAAAGCAAAGUAUACAAGUUGAAGAAAGCCAUCUACGGUUUGAAGCAAGCUCCGCGUGCUUGGAAUACCAGAAUUGACAGGUAUUUUCAAGAAUAUGGAUUUGAAAAAUGUCCAUAUGAACACGCAAUAUAUGUGAAGAAAGAAGCAGAUGGCAGCAUAUUAUUUGCGUGCCUAUAUGUUGAUGAUUUGCUAUUCACCGGCAACAACCCUACCAUGUUUGAAGCCUUCAAGAAAAGCAUGGUACAAGAGUUUGAGAUGACAGACAUUGGUCUGAUGGCACACUUUCUUGGCUUAGAAGUGGUGCAGAAAGAAGAAGGGAUUUUUGUAUCCCAAAGCAGUUAUGCCAAAGACAUUCUUGAAAGGUUCAAGAUGGAAAGCUGCAAUCCGGUAUCAACUCCAGUUGAGAAUGGAGUAGAAUUGAGGAAGAGUAAAGUUGGAAAUGUUGAUCCAACUUACUUCAAAAGCUUAGUAGGAAGCUUAAGGUACUUGACAUGUACCAGACCGGAUAUACUCUACGGAGUUGGACUUAUCAGCAGAUACAUGGAGACACCAGACCAGUCUCAUUUGAAUGCAACCAAGAGAAUUCUUCGCUACAUCAAAGGCACAAUAAAUGAAGGUAUGUUUUAUACCUCAAGCAAAAACUUCAAUCUUGUUGGCUACUCGGAUAGUGAUUGGGGUAGAGAUCUGGAUGAAAGGAAAAGCACAACAGGGUUUGUCUUUUUUAUGGGAAAUACAUCUUUCACUUGGUCAUCCAAUAAGCAAUCGAUAGUAACGUUAUCAAGCUGUGAAGCUGAGUAUGUUGCUGCCAACUCAGCUGUAUGCCAUUUAAUAUGGUUAAGAAAUAUGCUGAAGCAUUUGGGAUUUCCUCAAGAAGAUCCCACAGAGAUUUAUAUUGAUAAUCGAUCAGCGAUUGCAUUAGCCAAGAACCCGGUGUAUCAUGAAAGAAGUAAACACAUUGAUACACGUCAUCACUUCAUCCGAGAACAUGUGAAGAACAAAGAAGUUGAAUUGAUAUCCUGCAACACAAAUGAUCAAAUUGCAGAUAUCUUUACAAAACCAUUGAAGGGAGAAAUAUUUACCAGAUUGAAGUUCAUGCUUGGCAUGACAUCCCUCGAUUGAGUUUAAAGGGGGGAUUUGUUGUAUUAAACUCAAUCAAUCUAGAAGGUCAAGGAAGGCAACCACCACUUGCAGCCACCAGAUGUCACCGCCCAACCACCACUUGCAACCGCCCAGCCGCCAGCCACCAGCUGUAUGCCGCCAGCCGCCUUCACACUUGAAGGUUGAAAUAUCUUGUUUUGAAUUUGUGUAUAAAUAGGUAGCUAAGUGGAUGUUAUUCUGUGUGGAAAGAGAAGAAAGAAACACUAGAGAGAAAGAAAGAGGGAGUGUAUUCAAAGCUUUUGUUUAAUCUUUGUAAGCCUUUUAUUGUUGAAAUAAAACAGUGUGUUUUAUACCCUCUGAGUGUUUCAAAGCCACCACCAGUGGUUUCUCCCACCAACACAAAGGAUUAUCCAGGACUCUCAUCUUGUUAAGACUUAUAGUCAUAUGCAUAAAUGUGUAUUAUGGUGGAAGGAAAAUAUACAUGGGAGAUGGUGACUGGGAAGUCUUUUUAUCUUUUUUAUUCUUCCAAGGAGCUUUAUUUUGGUGCUCUAAGUCGUAAUUCCUGGAAAAAGUUAAAGCUUAGGGGAUAGAUUGUACAGGAUAAACUCUCCCUUUUCUUUUGAUCCCGCCUGUCCAUUGGAAGUGAAGAGAGUUGUCAUGGUGUCCAGUGUUCAGGACCAUCAAGCGGGAUGCACUUGCUGGAGAAUGUUUCAGUCGGGCCUUACAUACAAAUUCUGUAAUGGGGUAUUCUGCUGUAACUGUAAUAAAUUGCGAAGGCAACGCAUAAGAAAUGUUCUGUUAGAUUAAGGGAACUGAAAGUCCUAAAUUAAAUGUAGUAAAUUUCUCUCGCACUUGCAGACAUUUCUUAAUAAUGGGGGAGGGGGGUUUAAGAGCCUAUGUUUCCCCUCCGUAACUUGUUUGCUCUAUGUUAGGCAUGUGCAUGUUUAAACAGAAAUUUGAACCUUCGACCUGGAGAUUUUACGUUUUUACCUAGCUGUAAGACCACAAAAGAAAGGACAAGUCUUGUCUUCCUAUAUAGUAACUUCUUUAAUGGGAAACCUCUCCUGGUAUACAAGGUUCCUGUCUUGACUGGCAACUCUUUCCAUCUUUUUCUCUGAUUAGAUUUUAUUUUGUGAAUUAUGAGGUAUUUGGAUUGACAUCCCUUUUUUCAGGUUUUGAUAAAUGAAUAAUAAUUUUCCUAAUAUGUAUUCGGAGUAGCAUUACUCAUUAAUUUUUACCAGUAUCAUGCAUCAACCAUUUUUAUGCUUUAUACAUGGGUCUAGGGGAUGCAUUUCCCCUCAAAAGUUGUCUGUAGUUUUCUGAAGAAUCAAUGGAAGUGGUCCUCCAUGGUUCAUGAGAUGAUACAGGAGGUCUAGGGGAUGCAUUUCCCCUCAAAAGUUGUCUGUUGUUUUCUGAAGAAUCAAUUGAAGUGGUCCUCCAUGGUUCCUGCUCAUCUCAAUCAAUGAGCUGUUAUUCAACUGAUUUUAAUUUCAUUUCCUCUUUUUUUUUUAUAUAUAUUUGUAUUAUUAUGUGAUUAAUUGUGUUUGAAAAUUUCCACUGCAGAACUUUUUACUUUAUUACAUUUCAAAAGAAAAGAAUAAAAACAUUUGUGGUCUCAAUAGAACUACUGCUCCAAAACACCAGAGAUUGUGGUCUCAAUAGCUCUGCUCCAAAACACCAGAGUCUCUCCACUAUUCUCUGUUGCUCCUAAUUUGCUAAAGCUAUGGCUGAUAAGCCCCAUGCAGUUCUUAUCCCACUUCCAUUUCAAAGCCGUAUAAAAUCUAUGCUAAAACUAGCCAAACUACUUCAUCACAGAGGUUUUCACAUAACCUUUGUCAAUACUGAAUAUAACCAUAUAUAGACGCUUACUUAAAUCUAGAGGUCCUAAUUCCCUCAACGGUUUGCUUGACUUUCGAUUUGAAAACAUUCCAGAUGGGCUCCCUCAUUUGGAUAUUGAUGCUUCCCAAGAUAUCCUUGCACUUUUUGAGGCUAUCAAGAACAACUCAAUGGCUCCAUUCAUGAGUGACCUACUUAACAAGCUCAAUGAGACAGCCACUUCUAAUGUGCCCCCAGUAACAUGCAUCGUGUCGGAUUUCUUGCUAUUCACUAUCGCAACUGCUGAAGAGCGAGGAAUACCUAUUGCACUAUUUCAAACUGCCUCUGCUUGUUGCUUCAUGUGCUUCAAACAACUUCGUCCACUCAAAGAAAAAGGUCUUGCACCAAUUAAAGGUAUGAAGGUCCACUGUUUAUCACCAUUUCGGGGUUGUUAAUAUCUGGAUUGCAAUUUAGUAACAAAAGAUAAAGCUAAAUGUAAUUUUGAAGAGAAUGAUAUCUUCUUGUUUUAUUUCAGAGUAAGUAGAAUUUAUAAUUUAUACUGAUGGUUUAACAUCAAGAUUCUAUAUUAUUGCCUGUGAUCAAGCCUAAUUAUCUAUGAAUAAGGAAACAAAUAAUUAAAGAUUCAAUUACAGUAUUUGACUAAACUUGAUUUCCUACACUGUGCUUGAUUUCCUUUAACACUUCCCCUCAAGUUGGAGUGUAUGUUAAUUACACCCAACUUGCUAAGUAAAGUCUCAAACUGUGUGGAGCUUAAAGGCAUAGUAAACAAGUUUGCUGGUUGGUGUGUAAUUUGAAUGUAGGCUGUCUGAAUCAUUCUUACUUGAAUUUUCUCACGUAUCAAAUAACAAUCUAUUUCUAUAUGCUUGGUUCGCUCAUGAAAGAUGGGAUUCGAUGAUAUAUGCAUUGCUGCUUGAUUAUCACAGAACAAAGUUACUGGUUAUGUGUGAUUUAUCUGUAAGUCCUUCAAAAUGUUUUUCAGCCAUGUAAUUUCGCAGCAUGUAGUAGCCAUGGAGCAAUAUUCAGCCUUUGCACUUGAACUUGAUAUUGUUGUCUGUUUCUUGGUUCUCCAAGAAACUAGUGCCUCUCCAAGUAAAAUGCAGUAACCAGUAACUGAUCUUCUCGUGUCCUUACAACGAGCCCAAUCAGCAUCACAAAAUGCUCGUAACUGAAGUGCACCUGUGGACAGCAACAGGAUGCCUUGCACAGGUGUUUGUUUGAUAUAUUUGAGCACUUUAUAAGCCGCGUCCAAAUGGGGUUGUCGGGGCUUGUCCAUGAAUUGACUUAAGAUAUGCACAACAUAAGUCAAAUCCGGUCUAGUUAUAGUCAGGUAGAGUAAUCUGCCAAUUAACCUCCUGUAUGUUGAUCCAUCCUCCAAAAGCUU
This 8118-nucleotide long non-coding RNA is filed under the name Populus trichocarpa (black cottonwood). RNAcentral describes it as "long non-coding RNA (PTRI_LNC003573)". The record is from RNAcentral. Lineage: Eukaryota; Viridiplantae; Streptophyta; Magnoliopsida; Malpighiales; Salicaceae.